GAGAACCCGACUCUGUUUCCUCAACUCUGUUAGCAAAAUGAUGAAGAUGAAGUUUUGAUGAUGCCCAAAUUAAGUCAAGAUUUAUCAAGAUUCAUGAAGAUCCUUUGAAGACUUAUUUUUGUUAUGAAAAGCUUUUGUAAUAAUUGUAGUUUAAUUGUUUAGGACUUAGAUUUGUAGUAGGUUUUGAUUCUUGUACCUUUAU
RNAcentral lists this long non-coding RNA (202 nucleotides) under Vigna radiata. RNAcentral's name for it is "long non-coding RNA (VRAD_LNC004939)". Lineage: Eukaryota; Viridiplantae; Streptophyta; Magnoliopsida; Fabales; Fabaceae. The record is from RNAcentral.